This 492-nucleotide ribosomal RNA is filed under the name uncultured bacterium. RNAcentral describes it as "partial 16S ribosomal RNA". It matches the Rfam family "Bacterial small subunit ribosomal RNA", at positions 29 to 507 of the family's 1533-position model. The record is from RNAcentral.
AGUGAACGCUGGCGGUAUGCCUAACACAUGCAAGUCGAACGGCAGCACAGUAAGAGCUUGCUCUUACUGGUGGCGAGUGGCGGACGGGUGAGGAAUACAUCGGAAUCUACUUUUUCGUGGGGGAUAACGUAGGGAAACUUACGCUAAUACCGCAUACGACCUACGGGUGAAAGCAGGGGAUCUUCGGACCUUUCGCGAUUGAAUGAGCCGAUGUCGGAUUAGCUAGUUGGCGGGGUAAAGGCCCACCAAGGCGACGAUCCGUAGCUGGUCUGAGAGGAUGAUCAGCCACACUGGAACUGAGACACGGUCCAGACUCCUACGGGAGGCAGCAGUGGGGAAUAUUGGACAAUGGGCGCAAGCCUGAUCCAGCCAUACCGCGUGGGUGAAGAAGGCCUUCGGGUUGUAAAGCCCUUUUGUUGGGAAAGAAAAGCAGCAGGUUAAUACCCCGCUAUUCUGACGGUACCCAAAGAAUAAGCACCGGCUAACUUCGUG